GCUUAUGGAUGGACCCGCGUCGCAUUAGCUAGUUGGUGAGGUAACGGCUCACCAAGGCAACGAUGCGUAGCCGACCUGAGAGGGUGAUCGGCCACACUGGGACUGAGACACGGCCCAGACUCCUACGGGAGGCAGCAGUAGGGAAUCUUCCGCAAUGGA
RNAcentral lists this ribosomal RNA (159 nucleotides) under Bacillus cereus. Its description in RNAcentral is "partial 16S ribosomal RNA". It matches the Rfam family "Bacterial small subunit ribosomal RNA", at positions 217 to 375 of the family's 1533-position model. The record is from RNAcentral. Lineage: Bacteria; Bacillati; Bacillota; Bacilli; Caryophanales; Bacillaceae.